RNAcentral lists this ribosomal RNA (628 nucleotides) under Arthrobacter sp. AIR-SC-I-14. Its description in RNAcentral is "bacterial SSU rRNA". It matches the Rfam family "Bacterial small subunit ribosomal RNA", at positions 39 to 683 of the family's 1533-position model. Lineage: Bacteria; Bacillati; Actinomycetota; Actinomycetes; Micrococcales; Micrococcaceae. The record is from RNAcentral.
GCGGCGUGCUUACCUGCAAGUCGAACGAUGAUCCCAGCUUGCUGGGGGAUUAGUGGCGAACGGGUGAGUAACACGUGAGUAACCUGCCCUUAACUCUGGGAUAAGCCUGGGAAACUGGGUCUAAUACCGGAUAUGACUCCUCAUCGCAUGGUGGGGGGUGGAAAGCUUUAUUGUGGUUUUGGAUGGACUCGCGGCCUAUCAGCUUGUUGGUGAGGUAAUGGCUCACCAAGGCGACGACGGGUAGCCGGCCUGAGAGGGUGACCGGCCACACUGGGACUGAGACACGGCCCAGACUCCUACGGGAGGCAGCAGUGGGGAAUAUUGCACAAUGGGCGAAAGCCUGAUGCAGCGACGCCGCGUGAGGGAUGACGGCCUUCGGGUUGUAAACCUCUUUCAGUAGGGAAGAAGCGAAAGUGACGGUACCUGCAGAAGAAGCGCCGGCUAACUACGUGCCAGCAGCCGCGGUAAUACGUAGGGCGCAAGCGUUAUCCGGAAUUAUUGGGCGUAAAGAGCUCGUAGGCGGUUUGUCGCGUCUGCCGUGAAAGUCCGGGGCUCAACUCCGGAUCUGCGGUGGGUACGGGCAGACUAGAGUGAUGUAGGGGAGACUGGAAUUCCUGGUGUAGCGGUG